CCUAAAUUGACAGCUACAGUUUAUAUAGCUGCUAAUCGCACCUUAGGUAGGAAACGCUGUCGGACCCUGACGUGCAGCCGGGUGAUUAAUCAACCAAACGUUGAAAAGAUCACGGUUGGUCAAGAGGGAACUGGCCAGGUGUAUUGCAGAUCCCUCGCUUGAGGAGUGGAGGAAGGGUCUAGACUGCAGCAAGGAUUGUCUGGCUUUAUGCUGACCAGACUGGCGAGCUAACCUUUUAAGUGGAUUCGGAAAUUAUAACACCUGUCAUCUGAGAAAACUCUUCCGAACUGGUUGGAGAUUCAUCUCAACAAGUCUUCACUAAAGGAACUGGAUUAUUGUUUCCCUUUCAUCAUCAACAAAGACUGGUUGACUUUCUUGGCAUAAGGAACCUUUUUGGACUCUAAAAUGUGAACUAAUUUGUAUAUAUUGUAAAUAUUAAUACAACUCACUA
Long non-coding RNA from Gambusia affinis (western mosquitofish), 451 nucleotides. RefSeq lists it as uncharacterized. The record is from RefSeq and is a predicted model, not a curated record. Lineage: Eukaryota; Metazoa; Chordata; Actinopteri; Cyprinodontiformes; Poeciliidae. The transcript has 3 exons.